This 467-nucleotide ribosomal RNA is filed under the name Pantoea sp. RNAcentral describes it as "bacterial SSU rRNA". It matches the Rfam family "Bacterial small subunit ribosomal RNA", at positions 56 to 515 of the family's 1533-position model. Lineage: Bacteria; Pseudomonadati; Pseudomonadota; Gammaproteobacteria; Enterobacterales; Erwiniaceae. The record is from RNAcentral.
UGCAGUCGGACGGUAGCACAGAGAGCUUGCUCUUGGGUGACGAGUGGCGGACGGGUGAGUAAUGUCUGGGGAUCUGCCCGAUAGAGGGGGAUAACCACUGGAAACGGUGGCUAAUACCGCAUAACGUCGCAAGACCAAAGAGGGGGACCUUCGGGCCUCUCACUAUCGGAUGAACCCAGAUGGGAUUAGCUAGUAGGCGGGGUAAUGGCCCACCUAGGCGACGAUCCCUAGCUGGUCUGAGAGGAUGACCAGCCACACUGGAACUGAGACACGGUCCAGACUCCUACGGGAGGCAGCAGUGGGGAAUAUUGCACAAUGGGCGCAAGCCUGAUGCAGCCAUGCCGCGUGUAUGAAAAAGGCCUUCGGGUUGUAAAGUACUUUCAGCGGGGAGGAAGGCGACGGGGUUAAUAACCCUGUCGAUUGACGUUACCCGCAGAAGAAGCACCGGCUAACUCCGUGCCAGCAGC